AGCAGCCGCGGUAAUUCCAGCUCCAAUAGCGUAUAUUAAAGUUGUUGCAGUUAAAAGCUCGUAGUUGAAUUUCGGGAUUGACGUGACGGUCAUGCCUUAAGGGGUAUGAACUGUUACAGUUGAUUUCUCACCUUCUGGAGAAACUUGAUGUCCUUUAUUGGGUGUCUUGCGGAUCCAGGACCUUUACCUUGAAAAAUUAGAGUGUUUAAAGCAGGCAUUUUUGCUCGAAUACAUUAGCAUGGAAUAAUAGAAUAGGACGGCAUGGUUCUAUUUGUUGGUUUCUAGGAUCACCGUAAUGAUUAAUAGGGAUAGUUGGGGGCAUUAGUAUUCAAUUGUCAGAGGUGAAAUUCUUGGAUUUAUUGAAGACUAACUACUGCGAAAGCAUUUGCCAAGGAUGUUUCAUUAAUCAAGAACGAAAGUUAGGGGAUCGAAGACGAUCAGAUACCGUCGUAGUCUUAACCAUAAACUAUGCCGACUAGGAAUCAGACGAUGUUAAUUUUUAAUGACUCG
Molecule: ribosomal RNA, 510 nt
Filed under: uncultured Entrophosporaceae
Lineage: Eukaryota; Fungi; Glomeromycota; Glomeromycetes; Entrophosporales; Entrophosporaceae
Description: SSU rRNA
Rfam family: Eukaryotic small subunit ribosomal RNA
Source: RNAcentral